CCUACGGGUGGCAGCAGUAGGGAAUAUUGCUCAAUGGGCGAAAGACUGAACCAGCAACGCCGCGUGGAGGAUGAAGGUUUUCGGAUUGUUAACUCUUUUUGUUAUAGAAGUUAAUGUCGGUAUCUAACCAAUAAGCACUGGCCCACACCGUGCCAGCAGCCGUGGUAAUACGGAGGCUGCAACCGUUAUACGGAAUCACUGGGCGUAAAGAGCGUGUAGGCGGGAUAGCAAGUCAGAUGUGAAACCCUCUGGCUUAACCUUAGAACUGCAUUUGAAACUGUGAGUCUAGAGUAUGGGAGAGGUAGGUGGAAUUCUUGGUGUAGGGGUAAAAUCCGUAGAGAUCAAGAAGAAUACUCAUUGCGAAGGCGGCCUGCUGGAACCUAACUGACGCUGAUGCGCGAAAGCGUGGGUAGCAAACAGGAUUAGAUACCCCUGUAGUC
This 440-nucleotide ribosomal RNA is filed under the name uncultured bacterium. Its description in RNAcentral is "partial 16S ribosomal RNA". It matches the Rfam family "Bacterial small subunit ribosomal RNA", at positions 338 to 795 of the family's 1533-position model. The record is from RNAcentral.